Molecule: transfer RNA, 77 nt
Filed under: Bacillota bacterium
Lineage: Bacteria; Bacillati; Bacillota
Also listed under: 1 other name
Description: tRNA-Ala
Rfam family: tRNA
About the family: Transfer RNA (tRNA) molecules are approximately 80 nucleotides in length. Their secondary structure includes four short double-helical elements and three loops (D, anti-codon, and T loops).
Source: RNAcentral
GGGGGAUUAGCUCAGUUGGCUAGAGCACCUGCCUUGCACGCAGGGGGUCGCGGGUUCGAGUCCCACAUCCUCCACCA